Molecule: non-coding RNA, 149 nt
Filed under: Richelia intracellularis
Lineage: Bacteria; Bacillati; Cyanobacteriota; Cyanophyceae; Nostocales; Nostocaceae
Source: RNAcentral
AUGAUUCCUAACAAAUAAGGUUCUAGUGAAAAGCAGCCACUAGAGGUAACGGGGAAAGUCUGGUGUAAAUCCGGCACUGUCCCGCAGCUGUAAGCAAGGAAAAAACUUACCUUGUAAGUCAGAAUACCCGCCAAAAAAUCAACACAACA